GUGCUCGGUUCAGCAGCACAUAUACUAAAAUUGGAACAAUACAAAGAAGAUUAUCAUGGCCUCUGUGCAAGGAUGACACACAAAUUCAUGAAGUGUUCCAGAUAUUU
Molecule: small nuclear RNA, 107 nt
Filed under: Jaculus jaculus (lesser Egyptian jerboa)
Lineage: Eukaryota; Metazoa; Chordata; Mammalia; Rodentia; Dipodidae
Source: RNAcentral